RNAcentral lists this ribosomal RNA (253 nucleotides) under uncultured bacterium. RNAcentral describes it as "partial 16S ribosomal RNA". It matches the Rfam family "Bacterial small subunit ribosomal RNA", at positions 524 to 776 of the family's 1533-position model. The record is from RNAcentral.
CACGGGGGGAGCGAGCGUUGUUCGGAAUCACUGGGCGUAAAGGGCGUGUAGGCGGUCAGGUAAGUGGAAUGUGAAAUUCCCCGGCUCACCCGGGGGCGUGCAUCCCAAACUGCCUGGCUUGAGUAUGGGAGAGGAUGGGGGAAUUCCUGGUGUAGCGGUGAAAUGCGUAGAUAUCAGGAGGAACACCGGUGGCGAAGGCGCCCAUCUGGCCCAAUACUGACGCUGAGGCGCGAAAGCUAGGGGAGCAAACGGG